Molecule: long non-coding RNA, 639 nt
Filed under: Bos indicus x Bos taurus (hybrid cattle)
Lineage: Eukaryota; Metazoa; Chordata; Mammalia; Artiodactyla; Bovidae
Description: lncRNA (ENSBIXG00005006578.1)
Source: RNAcentral
AUGUGUGGGGGUGGGAGCGUGGGAGGGGGGCUGCCUCCUCUCUCUCCUCCCGCUCCCCCUCCUUUCUUCUCUCUCUCUCUCCCCCUCCCUCCUCGCUUACCUCGCCUCUCUCCCUCUAUCUCUCCCUCAUUUCCUUUCUUUCUCUUCUCCCUCUCUCCUCCAGUCCCCCCCCACCCUCUUUCUUACUCUCCCCUCCCUCUCUCCUCUCCUUCUCUCGCCCUCCCUCUCUCUUCUCCCUCUCCCUUCAAGUCUGGCACUGAACUCGAACUGUUUUGCUUUGCUCCGGGAAGAGUGCAGACACAGAACGUGAAAUUCCGAGCUUUUUUUUUUUUUUUUUUUUUUUUGCGUGGUGCAUUUAAAACGCUUCCUUAUUUAUAUUACCCUCAUUCCCUCACCUCUCCCACCCCCUCACCAGCCUUUCCAAAUUUCCCUAGAAAUCUCUAUAAAGCGUGCGGAGGGGAAAACAUUUGCACAAAAAGUGAAGGAGCUCGCCAAGGAGUUCCCGUUUGGGUAGUCAAACCUGCCCUGACACCUGGACGUCUGCAUGAGGGGUGGUCACUGAAGGAGGAGUUGUCAGAGGCCAUAGGAGCUAAAGAGUCUGUGCAGAUGAGCUCUGGAGUCCCAGGAGUCUCCUGCUGA